GAGUUUGAUCCUGGCUCAGGACGAACGCUGGCGGCGUGCUUAACACAUGCAAGUCGAACGAGGUCCAUUGCGAGCUUGCUCAAGAGAAGACCUAGUGGCGAACGGGUGCGUAACACGUGAGGAACCUGCCCCAGACUUGGGAAUAACAGUCGGAAACGGCUGCUAAUACCGAAUACCUUCGUAGCGUCGCAUGGCGCAUCGAAGAAAGCUUUUGCGGUUUGGGAGGGUCUCGCGGCCUAUCAGCUUGUUGGUGAGGUAACGGCUCACCAAGGCAUCGACGGGUAGCUGGUCUGAGAGGAUGAUCAGCCACACUGGGACUGAGACACGGCCCAGACUCCUACGGGAGGCAGCAGUGGGGAAUAUUGCACAAUGGGCGAAAGCCUGAUGCAGCAACGCCGCGUGCGGGAAGAAGGCCCUAGGGUUGUAAACCGCUUUCAGCAGGGAAGAAACUGACGGUACCUGCAGAAGAAGGUGCGGCCAACUACGUGCCAGCAGCCGCGGUGACACGUAGGCACCAAGCGUUGUCCGGAUUUAUUGGGCGUAAAGAGCUCGUAGGCGGUUCAGUAAGUCGGGUGUGAAAACUCUGGGCUCAACCCAGAGACGCCACCCGAUACUGCUGUGACUUGAGUACGGUAGGGGAGUGGGGAAUUCCUGGUGUAGCGGUGAAAUGCGCAGAUAUCAGGAGGAACACCAGUGGCGAAGGCGCCACUCUGGGCCGUAACUGUCGAUGAGCAGCGAAAGUAAUCCUAGCAAACAGGCUCAGAUUCGCUCGUAGUCCUCACCGUAAGCGCAGAGUGGUAGGUUUGGGUCUCAACCUACGAGAUAUAUGUGGUCAUUUCCGCGUUAAGUCAGGAAUUUGGCGAUUACGUUCGCAAGACUAAACAUCACAGGAUCGGGCGGGGUCUCUCGCAAGCAGCCGAAGUUUUCGCUUAAUUCGAUGCGACGCGAAGAACCUUUCCUGGGUUUCACAUAUCCCGAAAAACUCUAGAGAUAUGGGGUCCUUCGGGGCCGGUCACAGGUGGUGCAUGGCUGUUUUCAGCUCAGGUCGUGAGAUUUGGGUUAAGUCCCGCAACGAGCGCAACCUAUAUCCUUCUUUCCCCGCAUUUAGUUGGGGCAUCGCAGGAGCGCCCCGGGGUCAAUUUUGAGGAAGGUGGGGAUGACGUCAAGUCAUCAUGCCCUUUCAGUCCCGGGCUGCAAACUCGUUACAUCAGCCGGUACAGAGGUCUGCAAUCUCGCGAGAGUGAGCGAAUCCCACAAAGCCGUAGUCAGUUAGGACCUGAGUAUGCAACUAAGCUCCAUGAAGCCGGAGUUGCUAGUAAUCCCGGAUCAGCACGCCGGGCAGAAUUCUUUCCCGGGCCUUGUCCACUCCGGCCCUCACUCCACGAAAGUCGGUAACACCUGAAGCCGGUGGUCCAACCCGUCAGGGAGGGAGCCGUCGAAGGUGGGAUCGGCAUAUGGGGAGAAGUCGUAACAAAGUAACCGUUCCGGAAGGUGCGGCUGGAUCACCUCCUUUCU
This 1515-nucleotide ribosomal RNA is filed under the name uncultured bacterium. RNAcentral describes it as "bacterial SSU rRNA". It matches the Rfam family "Bacterial small subunit ribosomal RNA". The record is from RNAcentral.